This 428-nucleotide ribosomal RNA is filed under the name uncultured prokaryote. RNAcentral's name for it is "partial 16S ribosomal RNA". The record is from RNAcentral.
CCCUAUGGGGUGCCACCAGCAGUAGACCUCGUCGCCCCAGGUGAUCGCCGCCUGAUCGAGCAGGAACCGGCUGUGGGGCUUGAGGGCCGCGAGACGGUGCGCGCCGGCGACGACCCAAUACUUCGUGUAGGUGCCCUGAUAGACGAUGUCGGUGACCUUGCAGCGGAACACGUUGAUCCGCGACCCUUUCUCCGGCGGCGGCGGGGCUGGGGUCACGCGGAUCUUUUCGGGGCGGACGCUGAGGUGAACCGGGCUUCCCGCGCUGAUAUUCUUGUCGUUGAAGCACAGGAUGUCGGGGAAGCCCUUGACCGCGAGCUUGCAGUAAUCGCCGUCGACCUCGGUGACGGUGCCCUCGAAGAAGUUGGUGUCGCCGAUGAAAGCCGCGACGAAGCCCGAGCGCGGGGCCUCAUAGAUCUUGGCGGGGGGGC